Ictidomys tridecemlineatus (thirteen-lined ground squirrel) is the source of this 1036-nucleotide non-coding RNA. Lineage: Eukaryota; Metazoa; Chordata; Mammalia; Rodentia; Sciuridae. The record is from RefSeq and is a predicted model, not a curated record.
AGUUCUCAUUCUGAUGUGACCACUCAUUUUGUCAGAGGUUUUCUCAGGCAGUCGACUUCCCUGAGGGACGGUGGGAAGUGGGCCCUAAAAGUCAGAAGGGUCUUUUUGAAACACACACUUGGCCAUGACCUUCUCCUACUUGGAUCUCUGUGGCUACCACCUACAAAUGGACACAUAAAGAGAAUCUAGAAGAAUCAGAAGGUCAGAAUGAGGGUAUCGUGCUACCCAUCUUUCUAAAAAAGGGGCAAGAAUUGAUUUGGAGAGUGAUCCACUGUGGUUGAGAACUGUUUGGAUAAAUGUGAUGACAUGGAAUUGGGAAGAAAAUUCUCCGCUAGCUUCUUCAUGGGAUGACGAUUCAUCAUCAGCAGCAAGAGUUAGAGGUGUCUGUGAUCCUUCUCUGGUUAUGUGUGAAGCAGCCCCCUGGUCACCCGGCAGGGCACUUAGUUCUGACUCUGGAAAAUGUCAUGGUAUUUGUUUUAGCCGUAGAUUAAUUUUCCAACUCAGCUUGUUAUCUCUAUUAAAAAUAGUUUAUUAGAGGGUGAUGGGCCUAUGGGUGCUGUGUCUUCUUUGCAUUCGACAAGUAUUUACUGAGUCCCUGCUCUCUGUGCCAGGCCCUGGGCUGAGGGCUGGACCCUCAGUGUUGGCGGGUCAGACUCGGCCCUCCUCCUGGAGGUAGCUGCUGAAGAAAAGGAUGUGUUUGAGGCCCUCGCAGGCACCAUGCCAUCAACAGUGCUGAAUGAAGAAGAUCCACGGAGUGAUAAGUCUGUGCAGAGUGGAGGCGUGGCCUUGCCCAGGGGGUCAGGCCAAGAUAUGGGAUCAACCUAGAUGUCCGUUUAGUGGAUGAACAGAUAAAGGAAAAGUGGGACAAACCAGCUACAGGCCCAUCCUGUAGUCUUCCCUACUCAGGAGGCCAAGGUGGGAGGAUCCCUGAGCCCAGGAAUUUGAGACCAGCCUUGUCACAACGGGGGUCCGUCUGGAGGACAUUGUGUUAAGUGAAGAAACCAAGCACCACAAGACAGAUCCUGAGUGAACUUAC